Molecule: small RNA, 112 nt
Filed under: Vibrio tapetis subsp. tapetis
Lineage: Bacteria; Pseudomonadati; Pseudomonadota; Gammaproteobacteria; Vibrionales; Vibrionaceae
Description: Qrr RNA
Rfam family: Qrr RNA
About the family: This family represents a set of small RNAs (the Qrr RNAs) that are thought to be involved in the regulation of quorum sensing in Vibrio species. It is believed that these RNAs, guided by a protein, Hfq, can mediate the destabilisation of the quorum-sensing master regulators LuxR/HapR mRNAs.
Source: Rfam by way of RNAcentral
UGACCCUUUUUAAAGCCGAGGGUCACCUAGCCAACUGACGUUGUUAGUGAAUCUAUUUGUUCACAAUAUAUAUCGGCCAAUCGCACUAUUAUUUGCGAUUGGCUUUUUUUGC